RNAcentral lists this ribosomal RNA (796 nucleotides) under Streptomyces sp. Its description in RNAcentral is "bacterial SSU rRNA". It matches the Rfam family "Bacterial small subunit ribosomal RNA", at positions 56 to 866 of the family's 1533-position model. The record is from RNAcentral. Lineage: Bacteria; Bacillati; Actinomycetota; Actinomycetes; Kitasatosporales; Streptomycetaceae.
UGCAAGUCGAACGAUGAACCACUUCGGUGGGGAUUAGUGGCGAACGGGUGAGUAACACGUGGGCAAUCUGCCCUGCACUCUGGGACAAGCCCUGGAAACGGGGUCUAAUACCGGAUACAACCACUGACCGCAUGGUCGGGUGGUGGAAAGCUCCGGCGGUGCAGGAUGAGCCCGCGGCCUAUCAGCUUGUUGGUGAGGUAAUGGCUCACCAAGGCGACGACGGGUAGCCGGCCUGAGAGGGCGACCGGCCACACUGGGACUGAGACACGGCCCAGACUCCUACGGGAGGCAGCAGUGGGGAAUAUUGCACAAUGGGCGAAAGCCUGAUGCAGCGACGCCGCGUGAGGGAUGACGGCCUUCGGGUUGUAAACCUCUUUCAGCAGGGAAGAAGCGAAAGUGACGGUACCUGCAGAAGAAGCGCCGGCUAACUACGUGCCAGCAGCCGCGGUAAUACGUAGGGCGCAAGCGUUGUCCGGAAUUAUUGGGCGUAAAGAGCUCGUAGGCGGCUUGUCGCGUCGGUUGUGAAAGCCCGGGGCUUAACCCCGGGUCUGCAGUCGAUACGGGCAGGCUAGAGUUCGGUAGGGGAGAUCGGAAUUCCUGGUGUAGCGGUGAAAUGCGCAGAUAUCAGGAGGAACACCGGUGGCGAAGGCGGAUCUCUGGGCCGAUACUGACGCUGAGGAGCGAAAGCGUGGGGAGCGAACAGGAUUAGAUACCCUGGUAGUCCACGCCGUAAACGGUGGGCACUAGGUGUGGGCAACAUUCCACGUUGUCCGUGCCGCAGCUAACGCAUUAAGUG